UACGAAGGGGGCUAGCGUUGCUCGGAAUCACUGGGCGUAAAGCGCACGUAGGCGGCUUCUUAAGUCAGGGGUGAAAUCCUGGAGCUCAACUCCAGAACUGCCUUUGAUACUGAGAAGCUUGAGUCCGGGAGAGGUGAGUGGAACUGCGAGUGUAGAGGUGAAAUUCGUAGAUAUUCGCAAGAACACCAGUGGCGAAGGCGGCUCACUGGCCCGGUACUGACGCUGAGACGCGAAAGCGUGGGGAGCAAACAGG
Molecule: ribosomal RNA, 253 nt
Filed under: uncultured bacterium
Lineage: Bacteria
Description: partial 16S ribosomal RNA
Rfam family: Bacterial small subunit ribosomal RNA
Source: RNAcentral